UGGGUCGGAGUCGGCGGCGCGGAGUCGCUUACUGUACCAGUACCUCUCUCCCUCCGAGGACGCAGCUCAGCCACUCCAGGAAGCACGACAUCUAAUAACAUAAACUCAGAGUGCUCCCCACAUUCAUCUUCUACACAGACCCGCCUGUCCUGUCAGGACUCCAGUGCUUCGUGACUGUCCUCAUGCUCCGGAGGGCUGCGUGGUCACCCUUCCAGUUGCUUUUUGAACCCAUCCCAAGCUUGUGUCAGAAGUGCGGGUGAUGGAUUCCCCGUGCCAUCAACGUGAGCCAUGGAUUAGAAUAUAGCACACAUUUACGCCGCAUGGGCUGGUAAACAACACAGCGUGUACUCGACUUCAUAAACACGCUGCCUUGUUACAAAGGCCACUGCAAACGCAGUGUGAUAGGACUUGACCUUAAAAGCUAUCGACAAUCUAGCCCAGCACAGACGGUUUCGUGGAGUACAAUCACUUCCUGGAAUUCUUGGGCCAGCGAAGUCGGAGCCGAGCAAAUCCUGUUUUCCUUGCAUUGUUUCCUGCAUGUGAAUACCAUCAGUCUAGCAGGUCAUCAACACUGAUGGUGACUAGUGAUUGUCAACUUGGCAGAAGUAGACUCGUCGAGUGGACAAAUCUCUGAGGAUGCCUAUGAGGGGUUAUCUAGAUUGUGUUAAUUGAGGUAAGAAGACUCACCUUAACUGUGAAUGGGACAGUUGCAUGAAUUGUGGUCCUGGACUGAAUAAAAUGGAGAAAGCAAACUGAACGCCAUGUCUAUGCACCAUGGCUGUGGAUGCUCUGCGAACUGUAGUUUUGAUGCCAUGAUUUCCCCAGCCACAUGGACUAUAUCCUCAGGCUGUGAACCAAAACAAACCCUUUCUCCACUAA
Molecule: long non-coding RNA, 879 nt
Organism: Peromyscus eremicus (cactus mouse)
Lineage: Eukaryota; Metazoa; Chordata; Mammalia; Rodentia; Cricetidae
Exons: 2
Source: RefSeq, a predicted model, not a curated record